UAUAAGCGGAGGAAAAGAAACCAACAGGGAUUGCCCUAGUAACGGCGAGUGAAGCGGCAACAGCUCAAAUUUGAAAUCUGGCUUCGGCCCGAGUUGUAAUUUGCAGAGGAUGCUUCUGGCGCGGUGCCUUCCGAGUUCCCUGGAACGGGACGCCACAGAGGGUGAGAGCCCCGUAUGGUCGGACACCAAGCCUGUGUGAAGCUCCUUCAACGAGUCGAGUAGUUUGGGAAUGCUGCUCUAAAUGGGAGGUAAAUCUCUUCUAAAGCUAAAUACCGGCCAGAGACCGAUAGCGCACAAGUAGAGUGAUCGAAAGAUGAAAAGCACCUUGAAAAGGGGGUUAAAUAGUACGUGAAAUUGUUGAAAGGGAAGCACUUAUGACCAGACUUGGGCCGGGCGGCUCAUCAGGGGUUCUCCCCUGUGCACUCCGCCCGGCACAGGCCAGCAUCGGUUCUCGUGGGGGGAUAAGACCGUCAGGAACGUAGCACCCUCCGGGGUGUGUUAUAGCCUGGCGGACGAUACCCCCGUGGGGACCGAGGUCCGCGCUCUGCAAGGAUGCUGGCGUAAUGGUCAUCAGUGACCCGUCUUGAAACACGGACCAAGGAGUCGUCCAUUAGAGCGAGCGUUUGGGUGUAAAACCCGCACGCGUAAUGAAAGUGAACGCAGGUGAGAGCUUCGGCGCAUCAUCGACCGAUCCUGAUGUUCUCGGAAGGAUUUGAGUAAGAGUUUUAACGGACGGACCCGAAAGACAGUGAACUAUGCUUGUAUAGGGUGAAGCCAGAGGAAACUCUGGUGGAGGCUCGCAGCGGUUCUGACGUGCAAAUCGAUCGUCAAAUAUGAGCAUGGGGGCGAAAGACUAAUCGAACUCUAUAGUGAG
Molecule: ribosomal RNA, 874 nt
Filed under: Diaporthe collariana
Lineage: Eukaryota; Fungi; Ascomycota; Sordariomycetes; Diaporthales; Diaporthaceae
Description: LSU rRNA
Rfam family: Eukaryotic large subunit ribosomal RNA
Source: RNAcentral